AUACGGAGGGGGCGAGCGUUAUUCGGUAUUAUUGGGCGUAAAGGGCGCGUAGGCGGCCUGGGAAGUCUUGGGUGAAAGCCCUCAGCUCAACUGGGGAAUGGCCUGAGAAACCACUGGGCUGGAGUGCUGGAGAGGGAAGCGGAAUUCCCGGUGGAGCGGUGAAAUGCGUAGAUAUCGGGAGGAACACCAGAGGCGAAGGCGGCUUCCUGGACAGACACUGACGCUGAGGCGCGAAAGCUAGGGGAGCAAACGGGAUUAGAAACCCCAGUAGUCC
This 274-nucleotide ribosomal RNA is filed under the name uncultured bacterium. Its description in RNAcentral is "partial 16S ribosomal RNA". It matches the Rfam family "Bacterial small subunit ribosomal RNA", at positions 523 to 796 of the family's 1533-position model. The record is from RNAcentral.